GUGCCAGCCGCCGCGGUAAUACCGGCAGCCCGAGUGAUGGCCGAUCUUAUUGGGCCUAAAGCGUCCGUAGCCGGCCUCGCAAGUCCGUCGGGAAAUCCAGUAGCUCAACUACUGGGCGUCCGGCGGAAACUACAAGGCUUGGGACCGGAAGAUCCAAGGGGUACGUCCGGGGUAGGAGUGAAAUCCCGUAAUCCUGGACGGACCACCGAUGGCGAAAGCACCUUGGAAGGACGGAUCCGACAGUGAGGGACGAAAGCCAGGGUCUCCAACCGGAUUAGAUACCCUUGUAGUCC
Molecule: ribosomal RNA, 293 nt
Filed under: uncultured bacterium
Lineage: Bacteria
Description: partial 16S ribosomal RNA
Rfam family: Archaeal small subunit ribosomal RNA
Source: RNAcentral